UAAAAGCCACCUUCUCUCCUCUAAACAAUUAUAUUACCAAAGUGACACUGAAGGCAACCAUGGCAAAAUUCUGUCUGUUGAAGGACCAGAGCACAAAGAAUACAUAUCUGAAUCGAACGAUUAAGUCUCCUAUCAUUUCAGACCCACUGGGCUGUUUCCAAGUCUGUAAGCUCCAUCAUACACAGCUCCAUGGUGACCUCUACUGUCUGACUGCAAGAAUCCCGUCAAAGACAAAGAGUUUCCAGGGAGCUUCACCAGGAGAUUUUCCUCCCACUGUGCUAAGAAGUCCCCUUUGCUAACUGCUGGGUCAAGUCUGAUGAAGCAGGAAGGCGAUCUUCCAGACCCAAGGACUGAACCCGCCUGUCUGAGUCUGCUGCAUUGGGAGACGGAUUCUUUACCACUAUGCCACCUGGGAAGCCCAUAUACAAGUGAAAAGUUUAAGGAAAUAGAGGAGUAAACAGAAAGGGAAGAAGCAGUCUGUAGAAGCUUACUUGUUCAUAGACUUAAUAAUCAAGUGGAGGAAUUCCUUGGUGGUCCAGUGGUUAUGAAUCCGCCUGCUAAUGCAGGAGACACAGGUUUCAUCCCUGUUCCAGGAAGACCCCACAUGCCAUGGAGCAACUAAGACACAACUACUGAACCCUUCUGCUGCAACCUCUGAAGCCCACACUCUAGCGCCCAUGCUCUGCAACAAGAGAAGCCUCUGCAGUGAGAAGCCCUUGUACCCCACUGAAGAGUAGUCCCUACUCACUGCAACUAGAGAAAGCCCCUGUGCAGCAACAAAGACCCGGCAUAGACAAAAAUACAAACAAAUACAUAAAAAAAGAAUCAUGUGGAGAAAAUGAGUCUUUGCUAAUGUAGAUAGCAAGGGAUUUAAGAAUUUGGGUUAGGUGACACAGGAUCAGGGAGCCCAAGGCAAAGGGAGUGUGUGUAUGUGUGUGUGCGCUUUUGUGCAAGUGCAGACAGGGUUCAAAGAAGACUACAAAAUUGUAAAAAAAAAACCCAUCAGGACUGGUUGAAUCUAUGUAGAUUUGACCUAGUCCUUCUCUCUGGCCUCAUUUUCCAUACUCUUAACAUGAAGAUUAGACCUGUCUCAUCAACCUCAAAUUAAAUGGAAUAACUCACAUGGAGGCUUGAAACAUACUAACGUUUUCAUAAAUAAAUUCAAUGCAGCAGUA
Molecule: long non-coding RNA, 1175 nt
Organism: Bubalus bubalis (water buffalo)
Lineage: Eukaryota; Metazoa; Chordata; Mammalia; Artiodactyla; Bovidae
Exons: 3
Source: RefSeq, a predicted model, not a curated record